GAUGAACGCUGGCGGCGUGCUUAACACAUGCAAGUCGAACGAAGCACCUUGAUUCGAUUCUUCGGAUGAAGAUCUUGGUGACUGAGUGGCGGACGGGUGAGUAACGCGUGGGUAACCUGCCUCAUACAGGGGGAUAACAGUUAGAAAUGACUGCUAAUACCGCAUAAGACCACAGCACCGCAUGGUGCAGGGGUAAAAACUCCGGUGGUAUGAGAUGGACCCGCGUCUGAUUAGGUAGUUGGUGGGGUAACGGCCUACCAAGCCGACGAUCAGUAGCCGACCUGAGAGGGUGACCGGCCACAUUGGGACUGAGACACGGCCCAAACUCCUACGGGAGGCAGCAGUGGGGAAUAUUGCAGAAUGGGGGAGACCCUGAUGCAGCGACGCCGCGUGAGCGAUGAAGUAUUUCGGUAUGUAAAGCUCUAUCAGCAGGGAAGAAAAUGACGGUACCUGACUAAGAAGCACCGGCUAAAUACGUG
RNAcentral lists this ribosomal RNA (479 nucleotides) under uncultured bacterium. RNAcentral describes it as "partial 16S ribosomal RNA". It matches the Rfam family "Bacterial small subunit ribosomal RNA", at positions 28 to 507 of the family's 1533-position model. The record is from RNAcentral.